CCCUUAGAUGUUCUGGGCCGCACGCGCGCUACACUGACGAAGUCAGCGAGCAUGUCCUACGCCGACAGGUGCGGGGAAUCUUGUCAAACUUCGUCGUGAUGGGGAUUGAUUAUUGAAAUUCUUGAUCAUCAACGAGGAAUCCCUAGUAAGCGCAAGUCAGCAGCUUGCGUUGAUUACGUCCCUGCCCUUUGUACACACCGCCCGUCGCUACUACCGAUUGAAUGGUUUAGUGAGAUCUUCGGAUUGGCGCCACUGCGGCUCAGCAAUGGGCUCGGUGGAUGCCGAAAAGUUGAUCAAACUUGAUCAUUUAGAGGAAGUAAAAGUCGUAACA
This 331-nucleotide ribosomal RNA is filed under the name uncultured eukaryote. RNAcentral's name for it is "partial 18S ribosomal RNA". It matches the Rfam family "Eukaryotic small subunit ribosomal RNA", at positions 1470 to 1796 of the family's 1831-position model. The record is from RNAcentral.